AGAGUUUGAUCCUGGCUCAGAACGAACGCUGGCGGCAGGCUUAACACAUGCAAGUUGAACGGGAUUAAUUUAGUGCUUGCACUAAAUUAUGAGAGUAGCGCACGGGUGAGUAAUACAUGGGAACCUAUCCUGAAGUGGGGGACAACAGUUGGAAACGACUGCUAAUACCGCAUACGCCCCGAGGGGGAAAGAUUUAUCGCUUUAGGCAGGGCCCAUGGCAGAUUAGGCAGUUGGUGAGGUAACGGCUCACCAAACCGACGAUCUGUAGCUGGUCUGAGAGGACGAUCAGCCACACUGGAACUGAGACACGGUCCAGACUCCUACGGGAGGCAGCAGUGAGGAAUAUUGGGCAAUGGGGGCAACCCUGACCCAGCCAUGCCGCGUGAGUGAAGAAGGUUUUCGGAUUGUAAAGCUCUUUCGGAUGUGACGAUGAUGACGGUAGCAUCUAAAGAAGCCCCGGCAAACUUCGUGCCAGCAGCCGCGGUAAUACGAAGGGGGCAAGCGUUGUUCGGAAUUACUGGGCGUAAAGGGUGUGUAGGCGGUUAUGUAAGAUAGCGGUGAAAUGCCGGGGCUCAACCUCGGAAUUGCCUUUAUGACUAUAUAACUAGAAUAAUGGAGAGGAUAUCGGAAUACCCAGUGUAGAGGUGAAAUUCGUAGAUAUUGGGUAGAACACCAGUGGCGAAGGCGGGUAUCUGGCCAUUUAUUGACGCUGAGGCACGAAAGCAUGGGGAUCAAACAGGAUUAGAUACCCUGGUAGUCCAUGCUGUAAACGAUGAAUGCUGGUUGUCGGUUUAGGAUCGGUGACGAAGUUAACGCAUUAAGCAUUCCGCCUGGGGAGUACGGUCGCAAGAUUAAAACUCAAAGGAAUUGACGGGGACCCG
This 881-nucleotide ribosomal RNA is filed under the name uncultured Alphaproteobacteria bacterium. RNAcentral describes it as "bacterial SSU rRNA". It matches the Rfam family "Bacterial small subunit ribosomal RNA", at positions 8 to 923 of the family's 1533-position model. Lineage: Bacteria; Pseudomonadati; Pseudomonadota; Alphaproteobacteria. The record is from RNAcentral.